This 406-nucleotide ribosomal RNA is filed under the name uncultured bacterium. RNAcentral's name for it is "partial 16S ribosomal RNA". It matches the Rfam family "Bacterial small subunit ribosomal RNA", at positions 28 to 526 of the family's 1533-position model. The record is from RNAcentral.
GACGAACGCUGGCGGCGUGCCUAAUACAUGCAAGUCGAGCGAGCGGCGGACGGGUGAGUAUCACGUAAGGAACCUCCCGAAAGCGGGGGACAACAUCCGGAAACGGGUGCUAAUACCGCAUAUCAUUCGAUGUCCUUGCGGUGCAUUAGCUCGUUGGUGGGGUAACGGCCUACCAAGGCAAUUAUUCAUAGCCGACCUGAGAGGAUGACCAGCCACACUGGAACUGAGACACGGUCCAGACUCCUACGGGAGGCAGCAGUGGGGAAUAUUGCACAAUGGGCGCAAGCCGGAUGCAGCCAUGCCGCGUGUAUGAAGAAGGCCUUCGGGUUGUAAAGUACUUUCAGCGAGGAGGCGUUACUCGCAGAAGAAGCACCGGCUAACUCCGUGCCAGCAGCCGCGGUAAUUC